GAUGAACGCUGGCGGCGUGCCUAAUACAUGCAAGUCGAGCGAACGGACGAGAAGCUUGCUUCUCUGAUGUUAGCGGCGGACGGGUGAGCAACACGUGGAUAACCUACCUAUAAGACUGGGAUAACUUCGGGAAACCGGAGCUAAUACCGGAUAAUAUUUUGAACCGCAUGGUUCAAAAGUGAAAGACGGUCUUGCUGUCACUUAUAGAUGGAUCCGCGCUGCAUUAGCUAGUUGGUAAGGUAACGGCUUACCAAGGCAACGAUGCGUAGCCGACCUGAGAGGGUGAUCGGCCACACUGGAACUGAGACACGGUCCAGACUCCUACGGGAGGCAGCAGUAGGGAAUCUUCCGCAAUGGGCGAAAGCCUGACGGAGCAACGCCGCGUGAGUGAUGAAGGUCUUCGGAUCGUAAAACUCUGUUAUUAGGGAAGAACAUAUGUGUAAGUAACUGUGCACAUCUUGACGGUACCUAAUCAGAAAGCCACGGCUAACUACGUG
RNAcentral lists this ribosomal RNA (497 nucleotides) under uncultured bacterium. Its description in RNAcentral is "partial 16S ribosomal RNA". It matches the Rfam family "Bacterial small subunit ribosomal RNA", at positions 28 to 507 of the family's 1533-position model. The record is from RNAcentral.